CACGGGCAAACCGUUAUAAGUAGCGAUGGACACGAACCGAAAUGCAAUUUUCAGACUAUAUAAUUAAUAUAUAUAUUAUUAAAUACUUUUAGAAUAUUCGUUUGAAUUCGAUGAUUGGACAAAUUAUGAAUCUGUAUUGUACAUAACUUGAAUUUGGUACAAGAUCACGAGGAUUUCGAUCCCAUCGCUAGUUGUAUGUAGCCGGUUGAGACUGAUGCAAAGCCGCCGAUGAUUUUUCUAGGGAAAAAGCAAUCAUGAAAGAAAUAAACGCGCGCGUCGCGACGCCUGCGUCACUACACCCGGCGUACAUCCAUGGCCAAGGUUCUCCCCGGUCACGGGCAACCCGUUAUACGUAGCUGGGAGCCAACACUUGCCCGAGGUCGUCCAUGACUGUCUUAUUCGCCCCAAGGCUUGGGAAAAGUUGAUCUCAGGAAGAUCCACCUAAUACGCUAUGAAAAUAUACAACGUAGAGAUGAACGUUAUUUUCAUGCAUACAAAUGAUUUUACCUUGAAUUAAAACAUUCAAAAGAAGAACUUUGUACGUUAAAGGUGAUUCAUCGAGGUAGUCGAAAUUUGGAGCAGUUUCUACAUUGCGUUAUGAUUAAUUUUUGUUGACGCGCGUACGUGCUCCAACUAGACGUCACGUCCUCGUGACCUGUAUGCAGCUGUGUGCACAUAGUGUACGUCAGUGUAAGCUCAUGUACGUCGUAUCGAGACACGUCAAGGCCAGAACCGUAGACGCGAGGAUUCACGAUGGAAAAUCACGAUCACGACGACGGAAAAAAUGGAGCUUCCUGCAAAAUUCAGAAAAAGAAGAAGAUAAUGGAACAAUUAAUAGACGAUACUUUGUUUUCCUGGGCGACGAAAAUCGAGAAGAAGAAAAUUCUCCCUUUAACUGGUGUACUUUCUGCAUCUUAUGAAAUCGAUUCUAUUAUCAUUUCUGAGCAAAUCGUUCCCAAUAAUCCUCUUUGUUUCUCCCGGUUUGAGAAUAAAUAAAUAAUUUUAAUGCUAUGUACCAUGAUUUUAACUUGACAAAUACGAUUUGGAGAUGAUGACGUUAGAAAGAAAUUGCCAGGCAUAAAAGAAAAAUACAAAAUCGAUACUUUAUGACAGAGAAAUUAAAGUGGAAGUAAUUUAGUUAAUGCGUUUACACUACGAGAACUUAGCGGUCGUAAAUUUUCCUAAAAAUUUGCGCAACAUUCUCUUAAAUAUCAUUGUUCUUUUUAAUACAUUAAACUGUCAAAUAACUUUCAUCGAAUAUUGUGUACCGUAAAACGAUCCCGAAAUAAAAGUGUCUUUCCUUUGAAUUAACAAAUUUCCAAUUCUUCCAAUGUUUCUUCGGAUACUUUAUAUAUUAACGAUCGCUUAUUAUGUAACUGCACACUUCUAUAGUUUCAAACCAGAAGAGACCAUUAUUUUCGUAGAAGCAAAAAUUUGAAAAACGAGGAAGCGAUUCCUUCGAAAAGUAGCCAUGAACGAGAAGGUGGAUUUUUCAGGAUAAGGAUUAAACGCAUAAAUAAUAGACAAGAUAUUCUGUAUAAUUCACCAGACAAUGUUUAUUCAGACGACCUCACAACUCCCAAGCGUACAAAACGACGUGCUCACUGGGCAAUAUGCGGGGCUGCGUUUGUAUUCUUGCAAUUGUAAUACAGUACACUUUCGGUAUGUUCAUUUUUUCCGUACAAUGUUUUUUUCUUAUUUUUUAUUCAUUCCACCAUUCAAUAUUAUCGUUUAUUAUUAUUAUUAUGAUUUUUUUUUUACGUUUUCUCUUCAUCCCUAUAUCUUUGUUGUUUUGCGCUCUGCCUUGCACUGUUUCUCUCUCGCUCGCUCUCUCUCUCUCUCUUUCUUUCUCUCUCUCUCUCUCUCUCUCUCUCUCAUAUCAAGUUUCCACCAAGAAACAACAGCUGCUUGCAUCCUCCUUUUCUUAAUGGAUAGAGAAAUAUAUCAUACUUUAUGUAUCGUUUACUAUAAUAAUCAUUAUGUGUAGUUUAUGCAUAACAAGUAUUACGAAUAUCAACGCUAGUUCGCUUGCGGGGACAUAUCCAGGGUAUUGAGGACAAGGAUUGUGAGAGAACUCGUUGGGAAACUUGGACAUGGAAAGGACAAUUAUACUUGGACGAACUGGGGGAUUUGCUGAAGAGACGAUAGCAUCGAUCUGUGGAUAAUAGCUUGAGAUAUGGAAAAAUCGCAGCCAGUGUACACGUAAAUGUACGCUUGACAUGGCUACGACGAUACGGAUGGACAACUGUUCACAUGGCUGGAUUGUUCUCUAAGCGGGGACUGGCUAAUAUGCUGCAGGAAGGAAACAAGGGGAUGUUCGUUUCGUAGAGGUUAUCGAUAGGUGACAGCAAGAAGGAUUCAAGGGUCAAAAAACGAGUCGAGGGAGCGUGGUGUACGUGUAUGUUCGUGUGUGUUAUGUGUGUUGCGCUUUGUGAUACACAGCGUAAAAAGGGGAGGGAAUGACUUUGUCCUCGAGUACAAUAAAUACACAGAGUGGUUUCACUACGAAGCUUCUUCAAGGUUGUGUGUAAACGUGUGUGAAUUUGUCUGCGUGUGUGGAUCGAGGGGAUUCGAACGGUGCUGCGCUCAAAAAAAGUAGCGAGACAACGGUUUUUAUGCGUGCCCAUCGAGCAAUUCUUUUUUUUUUCGCGUCUGCCCUACCAUUUUUCAUCCUAUCACUUCCUUCCUCUUUCUUACUCUUGUUUUACUCGCGUGUAUGAUGUUAUCGUUUCUCUUUCUCGCGUUGUUCGUGUUUCGAGCUGACCUAUGCGUUUUUUUUUUUUGCUCCGUGUCUAUACGCGUGUGUAUAUGUUUUAUGUGGUUUUGUUACAUCAAAGCGUGUGUUUCUUCGUGUAUUUUCUCUAGGUUGUUGUUGUUGUUGUUGUUGUUGCUGCGUUUUUCUCGCCACGAUUCACUGUUUUACAUUCCAUUAUGGUUUUUUUUUCAUUGUGUUCUAUGCCUUAUCUCUCUCCUGCACCGAUAUGAUACUUCUCGGUGUCAACUGUACUACGGGGGGCAUAAGGGGGGUGGGGCGGGCGUCUCAACAACACGUCGGGGGCGACCCGCCGCGUAUAUAACUUCGCACUGUAUGUUUUUUCAUCUCUUUUACACGCUUGUUCGCUCUAUAUUUUCCCCUACAUAUUUCUUUCUCGCUCUCGCUUUCUUUCCUUUCUCACCGAGCAUUUCGUUUUUCUCGAAAAAAAAAAAGCAAAAAACUCGUCCACUCGCGCCUUUCUAGGACUUAGCCUUACGAAUCUACUAUUUACACUGCGCCGUUGUUACUUUGUAUGGUUUCUUUAACGCCGAAUUACUACACCACGCGACUUCGCUUUCCUCCGCAUUUCUUCUCGUUCCUUUCUUUCCUCUCG
Bombus huntii is the source of this 3368-nucleotide long non-coding RNA. RefSeq lists it as uncharacterized. The transcript is spliced from 5 exons. Lineage: Eukaryota; Metazoa; Arthropoda; Insecta; Hymenoptera; Apidae. The record is from RefSeq and is a predicted model, not a curated record.